Non-coding RNA from Nicotiana tabacum (common tobacco), 3907 nucleotides. NCBI's taxonomy places the organism in Eukaryota, Viridiplantae, Streptophyta, Magnoliopsida, Solanales, Solanaceae. The record is from RefSeq and is a predicted model, not a curated record.
UAAAACUGACUAAAUAAUUAUUUCAUAAUAAAUACUAUUUCUAAACCAAACCCAUGGUUAAUAGUAUAUAUCCCAACAGUUCCCGCAUUCAUUCAAUUACCUGCCUUGGAUAUGGCUUCCAGAGGUCUCAAAAAAAAUUCACAAGUUCUCAAUUCUUUACAACCUAGCUCAAGGAUUUUCUAAGUCUCCUUCAGGUUUCGAAUUUCUGGAUCACUGCUUGAGCUGAAGAUCAUUUCAUUCGAAGGGGUAAAAGCAGAGGGAACAGCUUUCCGGAUGUGGAUGGUCAUAUUCUGUUGUAUUUCUUCUACUAUGUGAUCUCUAUUCAGGGUUUCUACUUCCUCUUCUUAUUUUUUUGGUUACUGAUAUGGGUUUUUUUUGGGGGGUGGGGGGAACUUUUAUACUGAGAAUCGAAGACAAUGGAAGCAUCCACACACUACUGACAUAACAAGUUUGGCUAUAGUCCGUAAAUCUCAGAUUUUGGCCCUGUUAGGUGACAACUAAUGGUAGUUGAGUUAAUACUCCAUUGAACAGAUCCUCUAAAAACUUGUUCUGCUGCUGUUGCAAUCUGAUUGUCUUCUAUCAGGUCUCUGAAUCUUUAAAAUGCCUAAUUAUUCCUCUUUACCUUUAUAAAUCUGUGAAACAACUUGGUGUUCCCCUCUCCUUUAUCUAACCAAUUUAUGUUGUCCUUUUGUCUGGGAUAUAAAUUUCUCGCAUUUUCCUAUUCCCGAAAGUUCAGCUUAUGAAGAGAAGAAGUUUCUCUUCUAAGGAAAUGGAAUAGUACUAUUUUCUGACAGCAUAUAUGAUAAUAUGGUUUUUCUCCAUAUAAGGCUGGUUAUGACUCUAAUCAUUGACACUUUGUUGAUGUUGCUAAGACUAUUUUGUGUAGUUUAUGUAGAGCGAAUACAAGCCUGGUUAUGACUCUAAUCCUUUUUUUGCAAUGCCCACUUGGAAGCUUUCUUUUGAUUCUAGGGUGUCGUUCUGUUUUUAUUUGUAUUCUAUUUUUAAGUUUCUUUCCACAAUGAAAUGGAGAAAAAUUGAAUCACAACAAAGUGGAGAUGACAUUGAAUCUGUAGAUGCAUUUGCAUCUGUCAUGGGACCUGAACAUCCAGGAUGCCUGAGAUUGUUGGAUGGGGGUUAUGAAAAAACUGUUUUGAGCGGAAUACAAUUUGAACCCUCUUUUAGUGUUCUAAUGAUCUCAUGCAAAAACUAGAAGAGCGGAUGCAUCAAAAGCUAGAGGAAGAAAAAGCAACUAUGCGACAAGAGAUAGUGAGUUGACAACGUCAGCAUUUGAGUCCAGGAGUACAAAUUGACCCUGCACUCUGAUUUCAAGAGUACAAGUGACGACGGGUACAGAGCAGAAUAGGAAGAAACUCGGAAAGGAAAGGGGAGCUCCGGCUGGAAAUUUAACCUUUUCCUAUAAAGCUCUUAUGCAACUAGACAUUGGGAAUGCAUCUGGUGUCAGAAACACAUAUAGUCAGAGAGGCCAUAAUUUAUACGUCUCUUUGUUAAGGGAAUAUAACAAUAUUCGUUUGUUUUCUGUUUAGUGGAGAUGAGGAGGGAGUGUGCCAUUGAUGAAGGAUGAGAACAUGGUCAAUGCACGGCCAGGUUGAUAGCUUGGAACAAAAUGUCCUGCUCCUCUUACGGUCACGAAUGUCAAGUUCUGGUAUUCUACUGCAUAACCACCAACCUUAAAAGAAAAAGUAUUAUAUGAAAUAAUUAAUUCAUAUGCAUACAUGAGAUUUUUGAAAGAGAUUGUAGAGGGAAAGAAUAAUGACUACUUCGUUACCUCGCCCUGGAAGAACCAAGGAUACCAUGGUGUUUUGACUGGUGUUUUGAUUUUGUCUAUAGCAUAUCUACUUGUCGUCACAGGCAAAAUAUGGUCUACAUCUCCACUGAAAUUGUAACAAAAAAAAGGCUCGAGUAAAAUGUUAUUGUUUCGAAAUAGCUAAAAUUUCAGAAUUGCUUUUGUGGUGACUGCUUCAUUGCUUGAUUUACUUACCUAUAAAUCAAAACCCUAAUGCCAUUUUGCAUGAGUUCUUGACAGAUUGGUAGCAUAGUAUGCGGGGAGUCCUGCCAAGAGCCUUGUAUGUAACCACUGCACAAGGGAGAAUUGAAGCAAGUGAAUUUAAACCUAAAGGAAGAAAAUCAGCCUUCUUGAUUUGAAGAAGGAAAAUGUUCUAAAAUAUCACAGUAUGUGUACUUACUUGCAAGAAUCCCAGGAAUGGGGUAUAUCUUUGACAUUAAGUGCCUUUUGUACUCCAACAGUGUUUAGGUAAUUGUCUACGUAAUCAGCCGAGCAUGGAUCAAAUCCAUCUAUCUGUUAUAAGCAAAAAGAAAUAGUUAUGGUAUAAAUUUAAUAAAGGUAUGUAAAAUCUACUGGGAAGAGUACUGCUUGUCAUUGGGGUGCAGAAUCUGCUGUUUUGCAUGGUCUUUUUCUUCUUCUUUCUUUUCUUUCUCACCAUGAUUCUCAGCUUAAUUUGGGACACUUGAAUUUAUAUUACUACUUAUUAAAAUUGGUAUAAGUACUCGGUGCAAAUAUUUUCUUUUUGUCAAGAAUGAAUGAGCAGUUUAGCCAGGGAACUUACAGGAAGGGAAAAAUAGGCAGAGGAGUUGCACAAUUGAGAAUAUAUGUUAUAGGUGUAUAUAUUGCCUUGAGAUGAAUCUGCUUGGCCUGUGUACUUGUUACAAGCUUCUGUGGUAGAGGUUUCUGCGGAGAAGUUGCAAUUCGAGACAAUUCCUUCAUGGAUUUCAUCUGAUAUUAGUGCAUGUGUCCAAUAGAAGUCAUAGGAACCACUGGUCGCUGUUUCAUCAUCAAUGACACCAUUUCCAGUCUGAAACAAUGUCAUGUGCAUGUAAUUAAUAUGUAGACGAUAUAAUUUAGUGACUUAAUCAGGAGAAAGAGAAUUUGGUGAUCAUUUGAAGCUUAACUUACAGCUACUCCUUGCAAGUUAAUGACAAGGUUGGGUUCUGUUUUCAUGUGGGAUAAGACCAGCUGCGCAAGUUGAGGCACAUAGUGCCCAGCAUAACUCUCUCCAGUAAUGUAGAAAUCUCGGUGUUUAUAUUCUGGGAAUCUUUCCAUCCAAUUGACGAGAAAGGUGAAACUGUCUUGUCUAGUCUUUUCAUCUCCAGUUAUAUAAUCCGAUGAUGUGUUAGAGUAAGAGAAACCAACACCGGCAGGAGAUUCUAAAAAGAGGAUGUUUGCCACUGCUUUAAAGUCACAAAAUUAUUGUCAUUGUUAUUUACGUGUUUCUUAUUAAUUACUAUCAAUUGUGAUGACAGAUUUUGCAGAAGAGAGGUGAUUAAGUAUUACCGUUAUUCCAAGCAAAUGGGUUGAGCCACAAGGUUUUUCCAUCUUUAUUGACACGGAAUGGUCCGAGUUCCAUCAUUGCUCCAGCCCCAAGCGACGAACAACCAGGUCCUAAUCAUCAAGUACAUACAAAACAACAAAGGAAACAUGGUUGUUUCAAAGGGGAUAAAACGAAGGAUAUAUAUUAAGGAGUUUGUCGGCUUCCAUAUUUUUACGUCGUUGUUCGAUCAGACAGGACGGCUGAUAGAGAAAUGAGAUAAAGUUAAUAUUUAUUUGAUAAAAUAGAUUUUUGAGUCUUUCUCAGAAGAAGAUGAUUCAGUGAUGAUGAAUUAGGUUAUUUGGCGAGAAGAUUCUGAGGACAGAGAAAUUAGGAAAAGAAAAAAGGUGUCCAAAGAUUUAAAUGGUUCCUCCUUGAAUAAAAAGAAAUAUCAAAUUGGUCCCAGAAGAAAAAACGAUUCAAAAAAUGCAAUAUAUAGUAUUUGUAUUAGAUCCUUAGAUAUUCUUUUAUGUAUUUAAGUAGCUCGGAUCUAGUAUUUCAAAAUAAUAGGGAAUUUAUGUUUACUCUUUUCUCUCAAGCUUGAUCCAUGGGGGGUUGAUCUA